Non-coding RNA from Ovis aries (sheep), 74 nucleotides. Lineage: Eukaryota; Metazoa; Chordata; Mammalia; Artiodactyla; Bovidae. The record is from Rfam.
UUCCUGGUGGUCCAGUGGUUAAGACUCUGAGCUUCCAAUUUCAGGGGGCCCAGAUUCUACCCCUGGUCAAGAAA